Long non-coding RNA from Anopheles merus, 1091 nucleotides. RefSeq lists it as uncharacterized. NCBI's taxonomy places the organism in Eukaryota, Metazoa, Arthropoda, Insecta, Diptera, Culicidae. The transcript is spliced from 4 exons. The record is from RefSeq and is a predicted model, not a curated record.
GACCAAUCGAGCAGGAGCUCUCGGCAGGGGCGUUCGGUGCGACUGGUGCGCGGCCACCGCACGUGUAUCACUUUAGAGUGUUAAUCAUUUGUGUCAAAUACGUUUUAUUUAUUAUGUACAUCUAUUAGUGUAAUGAAUAAAUGCAAAAGUGUAUACGUUUAUACAUUAUUUAUUUAUUAUGUACAUCUAUUAGUGUAAUGAAUAAAUGCAAAAGUGUAAGACAUAACACACAGUAAACGGUUUAAUAAUAGAGCGCACUAAUGCUAUGAGGGAUCUCGGUGUCAUACUUGACUGAAAGCUAUCCUUUGAUCAGCAAACGGAGGAUUUGAUUACUCGAGGUAAUCAGAUGCUUGGCAUGAUGUUCCGAGUAACACAAGAUUUAAAAGAUCCAAUCUACAUCAAAACAUUGUACAGCAGUGUUAUCCCCGCCCGGUACUCGAAUACGCCGAACGUAUUAUAAUACACACUAUCAGCUAUAGACACAUUGUAACACACUUCGGAAAGCCAAAUCACACCACUUUAACACAUUCAUAUAACACACUUAGCAAAUCAAAUCAUACUAUAACAAAGCAACCGGAAGAAUUCAGGCCCCACCGUUCAUAUAAAAACAAGCCAAAGAGCGACUUCAGUGUGAUCUGAACCGUGGACGUGAGAGUGUGUGUUUGUGUGCUGCGUGAAUUAUUUUUCCUGCGUGAAACACUUUCCAUACUGCGCCAUCCGCGGUGUUCUUUCUGCUUUAUCGGAGGACAAAUUGUUAUCAUCUAAUUGUUUCGAUGUGUGCUGCUACCGCUAGCUGUUCUCCAAACCUCUUCUAAUUGCGACACUGUGUGCACAGGCGUUCAAGGUUCAAUUGAUCCUCGAGCACAAAGCCUUCACACAACACCGCGGUUGAGGCGCGUAAAAUCUGAUGACAUCUUUCCUGAACCAAGCAGGCUGAACACGCGCACCACCACGGGCUCCAGCGCGGUGUGAAGAGGAAAAAGAAAAGAAUUGGAAACAGCCGCGCCAGGCUUCCAACCACCGUGUGUGUGUUUGAAAGUAUGUGAGAACACAUGUGUGAAUCCCCUUGUGGGAACUGCAAAAAGAAGAGA